Neopelma chrysocephalum (saffron-crested tyrant-manakin) is the source of this 1225-nucleotide long non-coding RNA. RefSeq lists it as uncharacterized. The transcript has 4 exons. NCBI's taxonomy places the organism in Eukaryota, Metazoa, Chordata, Aves, Passeriformes, Pipridae. The record is from RefSeq and is a predicted model, not a curated record.
CGGUCCUAGAUACCAUGUUAAGGGGUACAAGCCUGCAAGCUCACCAUCAACAUUGAUGUGAUCUUGUGUGAGCUCCUGCCACAGAGGCUGCUACACCAGAGCUGAGAAAAGCUUCUAAAGAGCUUGCAUGUUUUCUUGGCUCCAUUUUGUUGACUGACUGACAAGGCAAAAUGCUGAAUUUUACCAUGUUGCAUCUGAUAAACUCACAGAGAAAGUGGAGGAUAGGAAUUUAAAUAAGGCUUACAAAGAGGCAGCUUUAGCUUUCUGGAACCCAAACACCUGCAAUUCUUUUAUGUCUUCCCCAUCCAGCAGCAUUCUUGGAAUGAUAUGUUUUUAUUGAAAGGUCCAUUUGCAGUAGCUCAUAACUGCAUCAAGAACACCAACAGCUGAAACACCAUCCAUGGCUGGGGGGAAAUCUGCUUUGGAGGGACAAAUUUUAUAGUGGUGAUGGGGAUAACUGUCUACUACCCCAUCCUGCCAGGAGCAGAAAUCUACACUGUCAUCACCCAGCCAUCUAUCACCCUCCUAACAGCCUCAGAGGAGGUCAGACAGAAUGGCUGACUGCCCUGAGUUCUGCAGCAUUGCCAAGAUGUGGAGCUCGGCUGUGGGAACUGGCAGGAGGAAAAAUAACCAUGUCAUCACUGAGCUCUCCCUAAGAAAACCCAUGCAAAUGCAGAAGAUGUCAAAGACUUGAGGAGGAGGAGGAGGGGAAUCAAUCUCAGUUUGCAGAUGGGCAAUGAAGACCUGUUAUUACUUGGCAGCCAAAUUCUCUACAGAGUCUGGGCAGAAAAAUCUUCCCAUCCUGUCCUUGCCCUCCCCAGGCUCAGCGUCAGCCCCCCCUCCCCCCCGAGGAGCUUGAGCACUGAGCUGCCUGGAGAGAUGGUUGAGACAGGAUGUGGGAGGGGUCCUCAUAAUGACAUUUUUGUUGAUUUUAAAGGAGAUUAAAUAAUUUUUUCUAUUCUUAACAAGCUUUAGUCAUUUUAUGAACCUGCAUUACUCAGCUUCAGAAGUCAGGGAACAGCAAUGAUGCAUUUCAUGCUCACAAAUGAGUUAGUUGCAAUAUUUUUUUCCUCAUAACCACUGUAUUACUUUACAGAACUUUCCAGAAAUUAGGAAAAUACUUGUUUUCCCUUUGUUGACUGAAACACUGGAACUAGUUUUGCUGGAAUAAUUUUUUAAACCUUCUUCUUCUAACUUUUCAUCUCUGUUUUUUCUUUUUCUGUCA